UACGUAGUGCGCAAGCGUUGUCCGGAAUUAUUGGGCGUAAAGGGCUCGUAGGCGGUCUGUCACGUCGGGAGUGAAAACACGGGGCUUAACCCCGUGCCUGCUUCCGAUACGGGCAGACUAGAGGUAUGCAGGGGAGAACGGAAUUCCUGGUGUAGCGGUGAAAUGCGCAGAUAUCAGGAGGAACACCGGUGGCGAAAGCGGCCAACUGGACGAAUACUGACGCUGAGACUCGAAAGCGUGGGGAGCAAACAGG
This 253-nucleotide ribosomal RNA is filed under the name uncultured bacterium. RNAcentral describes it as "partial 16S ribosomal RNA". It matches the Rfam family "Bacterial small subunit ribosomal RNA", at positions 524 to 776 of the family's 1533-position model. The record is from RNAcentral.